GCUCUGUUUGCGCUGGGUAGGCCUGUACUUCCUCCAAGUUAGGCAUAGCCAUGUGACAUGCCUUAGCCAAUGAAAUGAGAGCAGAAGUGACGGACAGCUCAAGGCUUAAUCCUUAACAGCAUGAUUCACUCACUAUGUCCUGUUUUCCUGGCCAGGUGAUAGAGGUGUAGGCCCUGAGUGACCAAGUGAGCAGAUGUCCUUGCUGAUUUGUGAUGGACAUUUCAAAGUGAAAGACACAAAAUGUGUGCUGUUCCAAAUCACUGAGCUUGGAAGGAAGUGUGCAGAAAGAUCCAGCCUAUUCUGACAAUUGGGUCUGACGUGCAGACACAGAUGGAUUUUAAACCCACAAACCAGAUGAGGUCAUCUUCAGCACAAGUGUUAAUGACAACCAGGAGGGACUUGAGGGCUGAGCCCUUCAGUGUCACUGGGAUAGGAGAAGAAAGGAAGUCCAAGAGAAGGAGACUGUUAAGGACUUAAUGUUUGGUCCCCACAAAAUUCGUGUUAUUCGUUGCCUUUAUCACCUACCUGAAGAGUAUAUUUACUGGCUUAUUAAUUUCGAGUCUUCCCUGUUCCCAGAAUUAAAGCUUCAUGAGGACCAGAACUUUAUGCUUUGAGGAGGGAGAAGAAGCUCUAUAAUGAAGACCUAGGAGUGUGGGUGACUUAAGAGAUCCAGAGUGGGACCUUUGAACAGCUCAGAAGACCCAGAAGCCUAAUGGUCAUGAAUUAAAACACCACCUAUUUAGAAACGUGCUACUCUGUAGAAUUGUUCUGUCUUAUUUCUGCACAGUCACAAGAGGUUAGGAGAAGAAAAUCCACGAGAUGCCUGAUGCUUGGGUUGCCCCUUGAACAAAAUUGUGGAAUGUGUUUUGUGAGCCCCCAAGAGUAAUAAUUAGCCAACAUUGCCCCCCAAGAUACCUGUCCACACCAAUAUCCCAUAUUUUCUAUUAGACACUGGUGUUUUCUUUUUAGGAAACUCAAAGGACCCAUCUGGACAGACUAUGUCACUCACAUUACAGAAAGCUGAACAACCAGAAAAAUAAAAAGAAAAAAUUUUUAAAAGCUGUAUAAAGUUUGAGUGUUUGAUUUGCCUCUUCAGGAUGAAGCUACCUUAAAGACUAGGAUAGCCUUUGUUUAUAACAAGUGUAGUUUUGUAAUAGUGGCAACUAACUUAAAAGGAUCACAAGACAACAGUAACGUCUCACUUGCCGAGUGACCAAAAAUGCAUUCUCUGGAACAAAUUA
RNAcentral lists this long non-coding RNA (1241 nucleotides) under Marmota monax (woodchuck). The record is from RNAcentral. Lineage: Eukaryota; Metazoa; Chordata; Mammalia; Rodentia; Sciuridae.